CCUAUUCCUCACAGAACCUCUCACUUGAACUCUCCCACCGAAAUCGUGUUUCUCCUUCUUCCUCACACAACACAAAGAACCUCUCAUUUCCACUCUUGCACCGACAUUUCGUUCUCGUAGCCAUCACUCACUACCGCGUCGUCGUUCACUAUCGGUUACAUACUCUCCUACACUCUCGCGCUCCCUUCCUCUCGCUGAACUCACUCUCGCGCUUCAUCGCUCAUUCUUAGCUUGGUUAGUCGCUAUUAUAAUGACCCAAUAUAAAGCAAUUUAAAAACGACCCUUUUCUCCUAGGGUUCUUCAUCUCAAAUCAGAGUCAAAUAACAUCUUGCUCUGCUCGAGUGUGUCGUUGACCAGUAGCUGGGGUUUUUGGUUCUCGCAAAAUAUAUUCAAACUCAAGCUUACGUUGACAUUGUUAUGUUGGGUCAUGCCUUUAACNUAAUUGCAAAUUAGUUUAUAGCAAUUUGAUUUUUAUUUAGCUUUUAAGUUGUUGUAGGUUUAACUCUCUGUUGCUAUUUGAUGGAUGUUAACUACUGUUUUUAGGCCUCUUACUUCACUAUUUAUAUUUGCCCUGUUUUUGUNCCCGUGUAUAUACAUUGUAUAUUUUGGUUCCAUUUUUUCUUCAUUCAAAAUGAGUGGAAUUUGACAUAUUUACCUGUCUACUGUAGUCAUGAGUCUCCCUUUUUUUAGUCAUGGGUUGCUAUGAGAGUUUGUAAAUGGAGCGGUUGUAAGCAAUAAUUAAGUGGCUGCCAUGCUGGAAUUUUUGCUGCCAUGGUGGAAUUAAUCAAGUGGGUGAUGUUCUAAAGUGCUCACUCCUUUCAUUAUCUCUUCUCUACAUCGAUUCAAGAUUCAUACAGUUUCAAGCUUGAUUCACGGUCAUUUGCUUGUCUGUAAUUGACUUUGUUGUUUUCUGAAGUUAGUUUUACAUUGAAUUUACUUUUUUAUGCAAUCGCUUUCAUUUUCAUUGAUUAAAAUGUUCAAUACUCAACUUUGCUUUUGCACUUACGUUCUGCACCUCUAAUUUAAUUUUUGUUUUUGGUUUCCAUCUUUUAAGUUCAUUCAAUUUAGAUUGAAUAGAGAAAGGUUUCUCAUUGAAAUUCUCAAUAUAUAUACUUGUGUGAUGGUCAUUUUUGUUUUAUUGUGAGAUGCAUCCUUAUAUGCCAUUAUGGAAGCUGUGAAAGUAGGGUACCUUACUUUAGUAUUGUCUUUACUUGGACAUGACCUAUCUCUAUUAUUUUCUCACCUAAUGAAUAACUUUUGGUAAAGGAUACAUUUGGUAGAGUGAAACUUUGUUUAGGAAUAUGAAUUAUUAUAAGAGCCUCACAUUAAUUAAUUUCAUGGAGUAUUUAUUUAAAUAAUUAACUAUUCUUUCACCCUAAUAUAUUCUUUCAGUGAUUGAUAUAGAUGAUUAUUUAUCUUGUAAAUAUGAUCUUCACUGAUUGCUACUACACUUUUUUUUAAUGUUGUCGUGGGUAUAAUUAGGUUGCAUUUCCAUCUUUUAGGCCCCAAAAGGGUGAAGUUAUUUUCUAACAAGGAGAAUAUGGGAUUUAGGAAUAGUUUUUUUGGCAAAUCUCUUUGUGUCUCGGCACUUUUGUCACGAGAUUCAAUUAGUUGCUGAAUCCUUUCUAUCAAGUUCGAUUACACAUCCUUUCUCAUCUACAACUUUUAGUUUCUUCUGUUAUUAGUGCAGAACUAUUAAGUUCAUUACUAAUUGUAUUAUUAUCUUCUUCCCCUAAUUUUGUUUCUCAUCAUUGAUUUCUCUAAAACCUCAGACAUGGCAAUAAUGAUAUUGAGGUUUGUAUUGAGCUUUAUUGAUUUGAUGAUCUCAAUUCUUGCGGAUCGACAUGACAAUAGGUUUGCUUAUGUUACUUUUACCUUUGUGAAACAUGAGAAUGAUCAAUAAGGUAUGCUUAGAUAUGCAUAAACAAGUUCAAUUUUCUUCAAUGUGAUAUAUGAUUGCAGGCUAUAUAUAGGGAGAAUAUCAAAUAAAAGUAACUACAAGUGCCCUGGCCUUGUUGCUAACCAUCAGGUACAACGAAUUACGAAAAAUAUGUGUCCAAGGCCAUCUAAUUAAGGUAUUACUAUUAUAUAAUUUUAUUUCUUUGUUCCCUUUUUUCUUCAACCUGGGGUUGGGAGUAGUUUUGUUGAUUUCCCAAGCUUAUUGCCUCGUGAAGUCUGGUAAGGGACCACAAGAUCAAAAGCUAAAUCAACUCUGAAUCAAUGCUAAUAUUACCACUUCCCACCAAGGUAAUUCUUUUCAUUAUACAUAGUUGUUUGAAAAUGUUAUGUUGACAUUCAAUUAUAUUACUAAUUGACGGGAGAGAAUACUGAACCAAAGUUUUAUUGAUCAUUAUUUUGUGAGUUAUAUUUAUUGUGAGUUUUAGAAUUUAAAGUGUUAUCUUUGUCUUUGUGUAUUAUGGAAAGUUUUCCAGAAAAUUGGUUGAUAGAAUAUAUAUAUAUAUAUAUAUAUAUAUAUAUAUAUAUAUAUAUAAUAUUGUUUAUGGUGAUGAUCAAACAAUGGAUUAAUGAAAAACCAUUUUCCCCUUUUAUUAUGUGUUAAUUAAAAAAAUGUGUUUGAUUUGUUGGUUAAUUAGUCCAUAGAAGUCACCUUCAACAAUUGUCUUUCCCAGCCUCGUUUUUCCACACCCAUUCUUACGUCAUUUAAUCAAUUAGAGACUUAUAUGAUACAUCAUGGAACUUGUUUGGAAUUAAAUAAUUAAGUUACUUUUUAAUUAAAAAAAUCNUGUUCUUGCUUUCACCAAACAGUCCUCCAAUAAAGUUAUUUAAUUAUACUUCCCAUGAUAUGAAAUACCUCUGUCUCUCUUAUGUAAGCAUAUUUUUUCUACAAAAUGAUUAUAUCCACACACCCAAGUUGAAUCACCCCCAUUUGGGCCACUCAUGUGAAUCAUACCAUUCAUCCAUACCAUGUCACAAACGUCACAUGUCAUGUACAUUACAUGCAUACAUGAGUUCAAUGCUGAACAGAGAAAAGGAAAGAGAGUGUUUAUAUAUGAUAACAUGAUUGUCAGAAGUUUAUAUUAAAAGUCAACAUAGGUUACCAAAAUAGAACAUAAAAAUUAGAGUUUUACAUGAAUUAUAUUUCAGUGUAUGUUUUGAUCAAAAGAGACAAUGAGGUUUAUAUUAAAAGUCGCCAAUACUUUUAUUUGUUUUAUGCAUAUGAUGAUAUGAUGCUGCUGCUUUUUAAUGCUUCACCCAUACAUGCUGGUUAAGUAGCCACGUUUUUAAAGCAUUUAUAUUCGAUAAAGUUACAAUAAACAUAUAAGUAUGCGUAAUAUAUAAAUAUAGACAUUGUUUCUUCAUAGAUCAAGGAGGGUAGAUGUACGAUUUAUAGAUUAUUUUAAAUAAGUAAUUUAAUUGAUAGUGUUAAGUAGUAAACAUAAUUUAUGAUGACAGUGAUUUUGACAAUGUCUAAAAAAUGUGAUUUCAAUUUGGAUUUGUACCAUUUCAGUUAUAUAUUUGUUGUCUUUGAAUGAAUUUUUAUACAUUUCUAAAUAUGUAUUUUGCAGUAUCAUAUCAUCUUAGUUUCUGAACUAGUCUAUCGCCUUAACUGAUAUGCUUUGCAUGUGAUAUGCGUGUCUGUGCAUUAUACCUCCAAACAAUGGGUAGUACCAUUGAGAGUUCAUACUUCUGUCACACAUGGUUGAUUGGUAUAUGAGGUUGAAUUAUUUUAGAGAGAAGUUAAUGUGCUGGUAGUCAUAUGGUCAUGGGCUAAUGGUUUAAUUAAUGUUUUUGUUGCUGAGGUUUGGUCUGAUAUACUUGUUUAGGAAUUUUGUUGAGAUUUGGUUUGAUAUUCUUGUUUAGGAAUUUUGUUGAAAUGCCAUCAGUGAAUUGGAGAGAGUGGCUGACAACUGGUUUGGGGCGUGUUGUUACUCUUUUGGAGGAGUAAGUGAGAAGAUGGUGAUGAGGUAUGUCAGUUCAAAUACAUGCAUGCCGGGGGUCUGUCUAUUAACUUCUGCUUCUAUCACUAUUUGCAAGGAUAAUCUUGUGGAAUAUAAUUUUCCAGAAGGGGGUGGAAAGCAAGAGUGUACUUAUGUAGCAGAAAACCCGAGAGAUGAUGGUAUUCAACCCUAAAAUACUCUAAAACGACACACAUCUAGAAUCCUCUACCUGGGUGGUUGAGUUUGUUUAUGUUACUAUUAGAAUAUCAAGAAUUAAGAGACUAAUACUACAUUACUAGUAUAAAAGUAAGGGUGAUUACUCUCUAUUUUUGUAAUUUGUUUGCUUCUUUAUUAAGCUCAUCACCUUAAUUUGAUGCAUUUGUAAAACCAAUAAUAUAUAGUGAUUAAUAGUUAUUGUCCAUUGGCAUGCUAUAUCAGCUUGAGUGUUUUCUAUUUACCUUUCUAUUAUUGGUUUGCAGGAUCUUGUGGAACUGUGUAUCAUGCUAUGUGGUAUUGAUAGGUAUGUUCUUUCCUCUUCCUAUAAUUUCUGUUUUAAAUUUCAUCUUGCUUAACAUGUUUAAGUUUUUUGUAUACAUUACAUUAUUGGUUAUGUUGCAACUCAAAUCACUACCAUUUAAAGUCCUUUUUUAGUUCAAUUGAAAUUUAGCUUGUGCAUCAUCGGACAAAAAUAUAUUCAUGUUUCUGCAGGGUGUUGUUGUCAAGGUUUUCUCAAAGCAAGAAUAUUUAGAUGAUGUGCUAUUGUCCUACAGACAAGAGGUAAUGUCUAGAAGUCUAAUUUACUUGUAAUGUUAGGAAAUGAAAAAUGAGCUCAAGUUUAUCCAUAUGAUGAAGUCAACUUGUGUAUAAAGAAUGAUACAGUGACCCAUACGUAGGAGAGAAAAUUUAAUCAGACCUUAAUAGACCAUCCUCUGUGGAUUUUACCUUAAUAAAUAUUACACAAUGAGAUCAUCUUGAUUAGAUUUGGAAAACCUGAUAUACAAGACUUAACAAUACAAAACUUUUUUAUUUUAAAUUUCUUGAUUUAAUUGCAAUUUAAGUUUGUAAAGUUGAAUAUUUGAUACUAAGGGUUGUUGAUAUUAUAGUUGGAUGAGACAAAAUUGCAUAAUUAAUGUAAGAUCAAAUUACAUUGGCCAUAAUUUUGUGAAAAAAGUUGUUUGUUGUUUCUGUUUGGAGUAACUUUUACCAUCCAAUCUAAAGGUUUUGUUUCCCCCAAACAUGGGUAAUUUCACCUUCUUCUAAUGGCGAUCACCAUCUCCCUUUCCUACUCCAGUUAUAUGGCCUAUUUGUUAUCCAAUAUGAGUGAUGCCUUGCCUUUGCAUCCAAUCUACAAUAAGGUCUUUUUAUUUUUACUUGUAUGUCUACAUCUUAUUCAAUUUUUGUAGUUUAUAUUGGUUAUACAAUUUGCUUUCCUGCAUCAGGUGCUGGUUAUGUUAAUGUGAAUAGUAGAUGAUAAAAUAUUGAUUUUGGUGGGAAUCUUUCUCUGAUCUUUUCUUGCUUUUGUUGCAGGUGCUUAUUCAAUUGAAGUUGACGCCGCCAAAGCCCAUGAUUUAGUGUCAAAAAGAAUAGGGGGCAUAAAAGCAUUAACCAAUUUUCAUGUAUGUAUCAUUCAUUAUAGAUAUAUUUAUGAGUUUCAUAGUAUAGGUAGUGGUGCUUUCUUGGAACACUUUGUGUAUGGUAUUAAAUCUUUCAAUGUAAAUAAUUUGGUCGUGCAUGGUCAAUUAUUUUGAUCAAGAAAUACAUGUAUUAGUGGUGGAAUAAAAUUUGUUGUCCAGAUUUUAAUGGAGUUUGUUCUGAAUUUUAUCAAGUGUUAAUGUAUACAAAUUGUUUUAAAGUUUUGGACUUUAAAUUGUUUAAUGUAGAUCCAAUUAGUAUAUGUUUAAGAUGGUUUGUGUGUAUAUUAUGAGUAUAUAUUAAAAGCGUGGUUGUUGAUGUAAGUUUAUGCGCUGCAUAAGGAAUAAAAAAUUAGGAUAAUUUUUUUUUAUAAAACCAAAAGUUACAUACGAAUUUUAUAUACGGA
RNAcentral lists this long non-coding RNA (5937 nucleotides) under Vigna radiata. RNAcentral's name for it is "long non-coding RNA (VRAD_LNC012752)". Lineage: Eukaryota; Viridiplantae; Streptophyta; Magnoliopsida; Fabales; Fabaceae. The record is from RNAcentral.